This 1080-nucleotide long non-coding RNA is filed under the name Homo sapiens (human). Its description in RNAcentral is "HSALNT0017548". The record is from RNAcentral. Lineage: Eukaryota; Metazoa; Chordata; Mammalia; Primates; Hominidae.
GUGACACAGCCCUCAGGAGGUCCUGAGAACAUGUGCCCAAGGUGAUUAGGGCACAGUCCGAUUUUAUAUAAUUUGGGGAGACAUCAAUCAAAUACAUCCAAGAUGUACAUUAGUUUGGUUCAGAAAGGAGGGACUACUCAAAGCAGGAGCUUCCAGGCCACAGGGAUACUCUGCUGUUCCCAGGUUAAGACCUGAGGCAGAUUCGACACCUGGGCUCCACCGGCAGAAUGGCAGAGUGGCAGAGUGGCAGAGAAGGAGAGAAGAGAAGCAGCCAAACGUCGGAGAGAAGCAGCUUGACUUCAGAGGAACGGCUUGACAGUGGGACCUUGGAGAAAAGUUUGGCUGGGGACGGCCGAACUCCAGGAGAAGACUACCUUCCCACUCCAUCCCCUUUCCAGUUCCCCAUCCCACUGAGAGGCACUUUUAUUGGCAAUAAAUUCCUCCACAUUUACGAUCUUCGAUUCAUUCAUGUGACCUGAUUCCUCCUGGAUUCCGGACAAAGAUCUGGGUGCAGAUGCAAGAGUCGUCACACUGACCCUCCACUGAGCUAUCUAACAUUUAAGCCGUCCACAGACAGUAAAACUAAAAGAGUACGGUGUUUUAAUGGAGGAAGAUAAAUAAGAGAGAAGGACACAGGAAAAGUGACAUAAUUCACUGAUAACAGACAACAGGAAGAAUAAUCAUGUCCCAUAUCAGCCUGGGAAGGUAAGAAAGGCAUCAUUACAAGGAGUAGAAUAACAGCUCUCAAGCUGGUUCAGUGGGCAAAAUAUCUGGAAAAUUUCAUCAAUGGAAAGGAUGAUAAUAAUCUAGGUCACUAUUUCUGAUUCAAGCCUGUGGGAACAAAUGUGUUUCAGAAUUUUAAAAUGUUUUCAUUUUGGAAAGGUAAUGUCUAGCUCAGGCUACUAUAACAAGGUACCAUAAACUGGGUGGCUUAAACAACAAACAUUUACUUCUCACAAUCCUGGAGGUUGGAAGUCUGAGAUCAGGGUGUCAGCAGGGUUGAGUUCUGGUCUAUAGAUGGCUGGCUUCUUGCUGUGACCGCAUAUGACAGAAAUAGAGCUAGCUAGCUGGCUUCUUCUU